GACGAACGCUGGCGGCGUGCCUAAUACAUGCAAGUAGAACGCGGAAGGCGGAGCUUGCUUCUCUGGAUGAGUUGCGAACGGGUGAGUAACGCGUAGGUAACCUGCCUGGUAGCGGGGGAUAACUAUUGGAAACGAUAGCUAAUACCGCAUAAGAGUAGAUGUUGCAUGAUAUUUGCUUAAAAGGUUCACUUGCAUCACUACCAGAUGGACCUGAGGUGUAUUAGCUAGUUGGUGGGGUAACGGCUUACCAAGGCGACGAUACAUAGCAGACCAGAGAGGGUGAGCGGCCAAGCUGGGAUGGAGACACGGCCCAGAACACUGCGGGAGGCAGCAGUAGGGGAUCUUCGCGAAAGGAAGGAAGGCUGAAUGAGCGACGCCGCGUGAGAGAAUGAGGUUGUCGGGUCGUGAAGGUCAGGUGUAAGAGAAGAACGUGUAUGAGAGUUGAAAGUGCACAUUGUGACGGUACCUUAACAGAAAGGGACGGCUAACUACGUG
RNAcentral lists this ribosomal RNA (495 nucleotides) under uncultured bacterium. RNAcentral describes it as "partial 16S ribosomal RNA". It matches the Rfam family "Bacterial small subunit ribosomal RNA", at positions 28 to 507 of the family's 1533-position model. The record is from RNAcentral.